CCUACGGGUGGCAGCAGUGAGGAAUAUUGGUCAAUGGGCGUAAGCCUGAACCAGCCAAGUCGCGUGAGGGAUGAAGGUUCUAUGGAUCGUAAACCUCUUUUAUAAGGGAAUAAAGUGCGGGACGUGUCCCGUUUUGUAUGUACCUUAUGAAUAAGGAUCGGCUAACUCCGUGCCAGCAGCCGCGGUAAUACGGAGGAUCCGAGCGUUAUUCGGAUUUAUUGGGUUUAAAGGGUGAGUAGGCGGCCUUUUAAGUCAGCGGUGAAAGUCUGUGGCUUAACCAUAGAAUUGCCGUUGAAACUGGGAGGCUUGAGUAUGGUUGGGGCAGGUGGAAUUCGGGGUGUAGGGGUAAAAUGCGUAGAUAUCACGCGGAACACUCAUUGCGAAGGCAACCUGCCAAGCCAUGACUGACGCUGAUGCGCGAAAGCGUGGGGAUCAAACAGGAUUAGAUACCCGAGUAGUC
RNAcentral lists this ribosomal RNA (460 nucleotides) under uncultured bacterium. Its description in RNAcentral is "partial 16S ribosomal RNA". It matches the Rfam family "Bacterial small subunit ribosomal RNA", at positions 338 to 795 of the family's 1533-position model. The record is from RNAcentral.